GAGACUCUGUGCGCGUGCAUAUCAAUAAGCGGAGGAAAAGAAACUAACAAGGAUUCCCUUAGUAACGGCGAGUGAAGCGGGAAGAGCUCAAAUUUGAAAUCUUCAAGGUUUUACCUUGACGAAUUGUAGUUUAAAGAAGUGUUUUCUGUUGAAGUUUCGGUAAAAGUUCUUUGGAAUAGGACAUCAUAGAGGGUGAGAAUCCCGUAUUUGACCGUUAUUUUCAGCUGUGUGAUACACUUUCAAAGAGUCGGAUUGUUUGGGAAUGCAGUCCAAAAUGGGUGGUAAAUUUCAUCUAAAGCUAAAUAUUGGCGAGAGACCGAUAGCGAACAAGUACCGUGAGGGAAAGAUGAAAAGAACUUUGAAAAGAGAGUUAAACAGUACGUGAAAUUGUCAAAAGGGAAGCGUUUGACACCAGUGUUGUUUUUCCGAAAAUCAAUUACGAAUGUUUUAUUUUUGAGGAGUUCAUGACUUCAUCGGCUUGCUCCUUUCUUUAUGAAACUUUCUUAAUGCACUUUUCGGUUAACAAGUCAACAUCAAUUUCUUUUGUUGUAAAAGGGUAUGAGGAAGGUGGCUUUCUUUUCGGAGAAAGUGUUUAUAGCCUUGUGCCUCUGCAAUCGGAGAGAUUGAGGUCUGCAGCGUAGAUCCUUCGGGGUUAGAUACGUUUGUGCUAAGUUAUAGCUUUUCAUAGACAACUUGUUGACUAUGUUUAGUCUUGUAGCUUACUCGCUGACGCUAUUUUACCUACGCUUAGGAUGUUGAAGAUGUAGCACAUCAU
This 775-nucleotide ribosomal RNA is filed under the name uncultured Neocallimastigales. Its description in RNAcentral is "partial large subunit ribosomal RNA". It matches the Rfam family "Eukaryotic large subunit ribosomal RNA", at positions 23 to 643 of the family's 3401-position model. The record is from RNAcentral. Lineage: Eukaryota; Fungi; Neocallimastigomycota; Neocallimastigomycetes; Neocallimastigales.